RNAcentral lists this ribosomal RNA (438 nucleotides) under uncultured bacterium. RNAcentral's name for it is "bacterial SSU rRNA". It matches the Rfam family "Bacterial small subunit ribosomal RNA", at positions 30 to 469 of the family's 1533-position model. The record is from RNAcentral.
AUUGAACGCUGGCGGCAUGCCUUACACAUGCAAGUCGAACGGCAGCACGGGAGCUUGCUCCUGGUGGCGAGUGGCGAACGGGUGAGUAAUACAUCGGAACGUACCCUGAAGUGGGGGAUAACGUAGCGAAAGUUACGCUAAUACCGCAUAUUCUGUGAGCAGGAAAGAGGGGGAUCACAAGACCUCUUGCUUUAGGAGCGGCCGAUGUCGGAUUAGCUAGUUGGUGAGGUAAAGGCUCACCAAGGCGACGAUCCGUAGCGGGUCUGAGAGGAUGAUCCGCCACACUGGGACUGAGACACGGCCCAGACUCCUACGGGAGGCAGCAGUGGGGAAUUUUGGACAAUGGGCGCAAGCCUGAUCCAGCCAUGCCGCGUGAGUGAAGAAGGCCUCGGGUUGUAAAGCUCUUCGUGGGAGAAUAGCUUCGGCUAAGUACCUGGA